Molecule: ribosomal RNA, 253 nt
Filed under: uncultured bacterium
Lineage: Bacteria
Description: partial 16S ribosomal RNA
Rfam family: Bacterial small subunit ribosomal RNA
Source: RNAcentral
UACGUAGGGGGCUAGCGUUGUCCGGAAUCAUUGGGCGUAAAGCGCGUGUAGGCGGCCCGGUAAGUCCGCUGUGAAAGUCGGGGGCUCAACCCUCGGAUGCCGGUGGAUACUGUCGGGCUUGAGUGCGGAAGAGGCGAGUGGAAUUCCUGGUGUAGCGGUGAAAUGCGCAGAUAUCAGGAGGAACACCAAUUGCGAAGGCAGCUCGCUGGGACGUUACUGACGCUGAGACGCGAAAGCGUGGGUAGCGAACGGG